Molecule: long non-coding RNA, 2314 nt
Organism: Anguilla rostrata (American eel)
Lineage: Eukaryota; Metazoa; Chordata; Actinopteri; Anguilliformes; Anguillidae
Exons: 2
Source: RefSeq, a predicted model, not a curated record
GUAAGCCCUGACCGUCGGUGUUCCGGUGCCGACACGGCGCUUCCCAGUCAGUUUCGAUGCACUGGUUGGCUGUGGGAAAGUUUGGAGUGUUAACAGGGCGGGGCGGCUUAGUCGAGGUUUCGUGUUUGCCCUUAUCUCUGAGCGUAUGCAAAAGGAACACCGGAGUCCACAGUCAAGCUUUUGUUUGAACAAGACCGCACUGUUUGACCGGUGUCAGUUAUACCCAGGCCCAGUGGGACGUCUCUCCCAGGCUGGAAAACCCUUUCAUGCGCCUGGGUUUUCAUCACCGAAAUGGGAGCAGAGUAUCUUGCCCAAGGGGUCAAUUUCCACACACCGCCCCCCCACCCCAUCCCCAACCCUCCGGUGCCUGGCCUGACAUCGCUAUUGUGCUGGCCUGAACACGAACCUCAUCUUUUAUGGCAGGCAUUCUUUAUUCUGGUUUAUACCGUGUACCGUUUUUAGCUUGUCCUGCAGUAAUGCAAUGUACUGCAGCGUUUGCGUGUGAACUUUAAAAGAGAAAUCUGUGAUUGAUGUUAACAUUACAGCUCUGAAAUCACAGCAGCUAUGUUAGCAAACUCUCCUCCUUCUGGGGGAAAAAAGUACCACGCAACUGUAUUUUUAGCUUCCACUUAACCAGAGUGUCCACGAUGCAUUUCUGUUUAAAGGAGAGCACAUCCACAGACCAUAAAUCCAUAGAAAAAAGCGGACCAUUUAUCUUUCAAAAAUGACCUUAAAAACCGGGGGCAUUUUAUGCAACACCCCCGGCAUACCUCAUCAUAUUGCUCCAUCUGGGACAGGACACUUGGCAAGUGUAUGACCUUAUUAACGUUUUUGUUUCCCUUUUUACAUAUGCGUUUAACACAGAGCACUGUUAAAUGAGUGAGAAAUGACAGCUAGACUUUAAAGUCGUCCUUACUGCUAAUUUGAAUUUCAUAUUUUGUAGCAAUGGGCAUUCUUUGCUGUAAACUAGUCACUUUUACCAGUAAUAGUGGGGACAUCACCUUUGCUGUGAGUGUGUGCCUCUGACAGUUUUUACCAUCCAAAAAAAGCCGCCCAGGCACAGAAGAUCACCUCAGCGCAACUUCAGCAUCAGAAGGCGUUAAUGGCGGUAACACCACCCGAUGGGUAUCCGUGUGCGUCACAUUUCAGUGCGAGCGAAGCUGCUGAAAACUGCUACGUAAACGCUUGUGCUGCUGAGCCAUGCCAGGCCACGCGACACUGCGGGAGCCAGCUCAUCUAACAUGGCGGGCAGUUACUGGGAGGUAAAGGUGCGGCUGAGAGGUAUGGCGGUCACUUGGUGGAUCAGUGAGCAAGGUCACGCAGGCCUAAAUGUUCAGCGCUCGGACAUCAGGACACAGUAAUGCACUGGGGUGCAGUGACUUGGGCUGCCUGUCCUUUGCCCCUCCCCCACUCACCAACCAUCCCACUUCCCCCAACCACCCCCCCCAGGAGUUUUGGAGAGAUUCACACUGCUGCUGCGGCACAGACAACACCCCUAAUCCACCACCCAACCUCUCUCCCACAUCCCAGCUCUCUCACAGAAAGGAGGAGACGUGUGAGAGAGGAGAGAGGAGUAACUAUAGAGACGGAAUGGAGAGCUGGAGAAAGGGAGGCAUGGAGAGACGGUUUGGUGAUGUUUUCUAAGUGAUGACUGUCGUUCUCUCUCCCUCUCGCUCUGUAAUCAGCUGCUCUGUAGCAGCUGCCCAUUGAUCACCCCAGCACUUAAGAUCUGCAGAGUGACAUCAGCACAUGGGAGAAAUCAAUAAAUCUGUCCAACCCUGCACAUUUUACUCUUGAAGCUCACCUGAUUCUGCAGUUCCUCAUGUCAUUUCAGGUGUAAGUGGGUUUUCACAGCAGAGAAUAAUUUUUUAGCACAGUGUUGGCACUAACACUGGCAGCAAGACAGUGGGGAGUCUUGUACCGCUAUUUAUAGCUAGCUGCUAGCCGGUGUUUUACCGCGCCAAUGAGAUGUGUGCACGUUUGAACUGGCUUAUCAGAUUAUUAACCAGAAGGUGGUUCAUAAACUGAUAUGUCUGAAAGUAACAUCAGUUUGUUUUCCACAUUUUGGUCAGCCCAAUCAUGUUUGCUCAUGUAUGCAAAUUUUGGUGAUCAACACUUCUCGGCUUUGCUUGAUUAGUGGCGUAUUUCGGGACCUCCUUGCUAUGAGGCGACAGUGCUACCCACUGCACCACCAUGGCACCCACCAAGUGAAACCACAGUAUGUUUAAAAAUACCCUUAAAUAAGGUGCAAACCCAUAAUCCUCUUUGCGCCGACCAUUAUGGUGCUCACUGUAAUAAAAUCUAUUUUAUAGAA